UCCCUGGUGGCUCAGAGGUUAAAGCGUCUGCCUCCAGUGCGGGAGACCUGGGUUCGAUCCCUGGGUUGGGAA
Ovis aries (sheep) is the source of this 72-nucleotide transfer RNA. It matches the Rfam family "tRNA". From Rfam's summary of the family: Transfer RNA (tRNA) molecules are approximately 80 nucleotides in length. The record is from Rfam. NCBI's taxonomy places the organism in Eukaryota, Metazoa, Chordata, Mammalia, Artiodactyla, Bovidae.